GACAGAGGGUGCAAACGUUGCUCGGAAUUACUGGGCGUAAAGCGCGUGUAGGCGGACCUGCAAGUCGGACGUGAAAGCCCUGGGCUCAACCCAGGAACUGCGUCCGAUACUGGGAGGCUUGAAUCCGGGAGAGGGAUGCGGAAUUCCAGGUGUAGCGGUGAAAUGCGUAGAUAUCUGGAGGAACACCGGUGGCGAAGGCGGCAUCCUGGACCGGUAUUGACGCUGAGGCGCGAAAGCCAGGGGAGCAAACGGG
This 253-nucleotide ribosomal RNA is filed under the name uncultured bacterium. RNAcentral describes it as "partial 16S ribosomal RNA". It matches the Rfam family "Bacterial small subunit ribosomal RNA", at positions 524 to 776 of the family's 1533-position model. The record is from RNAcentral.